Molecule: ribosomal RNA, 253 nt
Filed under: uncultured bacterium
Lineage: Bacteria
Description: partial 16S ribosomal RNA
Rfam family: Bacterial small subunit ribosomal RNA
Source: RNAcentral
UACGUAGGUGGCAAGCGUUGUCCGGAUUUAUUGGGUUUAAAGGGUGCGUAGGCGGCCCUGUAAGUCAGUGCUGAAAUAUCCCAGCUUAACUGGGAGGGUGGCAUUGAUACUGCGGGGCUAGAGUACAGAUGAGGUAGGCGGAAUUGACGGUGUAGCGGUGAAGUGCUUAGAUAUCGUCAAGAACACCUAUAGCGAAGGCAGCUUACUAGGCUGUAACUGACGCUGAGGCACGAAAGUGUGGGGAACAAACAGG